UCUUACCUGUCGAAUAAUCAAGUAUUGCGAAUGUUAUUAAUAAUAACUAAUAAAUAGUCGGUUAUACCCAAACGAUCUCUAAAAACACCAGGUAUAAAAACAUACGCUUUUAUUUGUACUGAGAGCGCGUGCUAUCUCCGCUCUCACUCUUGCUCAGAGAAAGUAAUUAGGGGAGUUCCUAAUGGGUGCGAGUGCAAGUGGGAGAGGGGAUAUACGAGAAUCUUAUCACCAGUGUAUAACUUGGACUGCGAUAAUUUACGACUGUCAACUGCCUGAAAUUCCUCCAAUUAAUUAAUGCAUUAUAGUGAUAGCCGUACAUUAAAUUGGUUAGGGUUUGAGGUGGGAAAAUAAAUGUGAAAGAAAAAAGUUCGUAGAUUUCCCAUUCCUCAAAACACUGUGAUAACGUCGGUAAUAAAUUCGGCGAUAGAAAUCUUAAAACGCGAACUGUUACUUGUGCACGCACGGCGGAAAGUGUUGAGCUGCAGUGAAAGUGGAUAUUUAGGACGCCGGUACUCACCUCAUUAGAUGAAGGGCAGCGCCAAAGUCCUCAAUCGUUUGCGACUCACUCAGGGCGAUGGCGACCUUCUCGACUCCGCCAAGGGGUGAAAGGGCAUCACGUGCCUUGCUGCCAAAAAGUUUUUCCAGGUAAUUGGGUCCGUGGGAGGCGAUCAGGCUCUGGAGGAAGGAUGCAGUCUCCUCGACGGGCGGCCGCUUGGCUGCAAUUAAUAAAGCAGAAACACAGAAUUUUAUCGGCUGCAAUUAAAUAAAGUUUUUGGGAGGGGGACAAUUUGCCGCAUAAUGUAAUUAAUAAUCUACGGAAUGCCUUGAUUACUAUCAGCUUAAUGCAUUUGCAUUCAUAAUGUAUUCCUAUUUAAAUUGAUUUUGUUCAUUAAGCCGGCAAACAGUUGGGCUGAUUAAUAAAUGAGAGAAACAUUA
Long non-coding RNA from Drosophila yakuba, 936 nucleotides. RefSeq lists it as uncharacterized. The transcript is spliced from 2 exons. Lineage: Eukaryota; Metazoa; Arthropoda; Insecta; Diptera; Drosophilidae. The record is from RefSeq and is a predicted model, not a curated record.